Felis catus (domestic cat) is the source of this 840-nucleotide long non-coding RNA. RefSeq lists it as uncharacterized. NCBI's taxonomy places the organism in Eukaryota, Metazoa, Chordata, Mammalia, Carnivora, Felidae. The transcript has 2 exons. The record is from RefSeq and is a predicted model, not a curated record.
CGUUCCUGCAGCAAGAGGGAGGAAGAGGAGGCAUGUGGUUCGACCCUGCCCGUGGGGCUAACAGGUGCAGGGAGCUGUAGCGUGGGCUCUGGGGUCCGAAUGACGGGGAUUCACACUUGACCCGGGCACUCACAACUGGAGCCCCGGGAUGGCAGUGGCACCUGCAGCCGGUCGGGCUGAGAGAAGCCCCCAGUUAGUGCCUACAGCAUCUAAAACCCUGCCAAGUGCAGCGCACAUGCUCGGUGAUGUCUGCAUCUAGUGGCAUCCGUGGGGUUUUGUUUUUGUGGGUUCGGGUGACUCCUCUCCUCUCCCCUCUUCCAUGCCCUCCUGUGGGGGCCAAAGGCUGCCCAAGACACUCUCAGAAGUGGGCAGGUGUCCCCUAACACCCCUGCCUGGGGAAGCUCCCAUCAAGGUUUCUCAGGGAGGCUACAGCAAAGUUGUUCAAAAGAACAUUCCGCGACGGCAGAACCUGUGUCGUCAGGUGCGGUAGCAAGGAGCCGUAGGGCAGCGGUGGCCGAGACGGCCAAGCUGGCCCACCGCUUCGGCGUGAGAUCCGAGUCUGAGGUUACUCAUGGCCCGUGACGGAGCUACGGCCAACUAGCAGUCAGUGCGUGGCUGCCCUGAGACUUCUGGAAGGAGUCUCAGAGAGUGGGAGGCGGGCCUUCGUUGGGAAGGCUCUUCCUCUUCUGUUGCACUGCCUGGAAUAUCAUGGUGGCUGGACCUCGGGCAGCCAUCUUGGAAGAGGAGGAGGAAGGCUCAGGAAUAAGGAUGGACCUGGAUGCCUUUGGAGCUGCCCCACCUGCCCCAGAUGGGAACGUCAUAAGAAACAAUAGCAACUUC